GUUAUUUUCCUUCGUCAAUAGAUUCCUCCAAUCCACGGUCCGGCGACGGAAAUGAAAGCUUAAAGGGCAGUCAGAUCUUGGACUGGAGGCGAGGAUUUUUUGUCGGAGAUGAAAAAUGAGGUUUUGUUUGCCGAUGAGGAGUGAGGUGACGUGCGAAGGCGACGGCGCAGCCGAGAGACUUCGCGGCGGAGAAGGUUUUGGCGACGGUGGUUGUGAAGUGGGCUAAGGAUGAUGGCGGCGGAUUUAAGGUUUAAGAUGAUAGGUGGUUAGGGCGAGUGAGAUCGAUGGUGUGGAGAUGGAGGAAGUUGUGAUGGUCGAGGUGAGGGCGGAGAUGGAGGUUUCUGGUGGAGGAAAGGUUGGAUGCAGAGUGUCCGAAGGAGAAGGUUGGUGCGGAGGUGGAGCGGAAGUUUCGUCGGAAUGAAGAAGGUGGUUGUGUGGUUGUGUUCGCCGGCGAGGGAGGAGGCGAAUCGGAGAAGGCGGUGGUGAGAAGAUUGUGAACAGUGGUCGUGGCGGAGAUGUUUGGUGGCGGUUUUGUGGUGUUGUGGUGGCGGUGGUGUGAUUGAGGAAGAUGGAGAGGAUGAGUUAGUGUGAGGUGUGAGGUGAGAGCCCAGAGAAUUUGUAACGUGGCCCCCUAUUUAUUAAGUGAAAAGAGAGUUAUAUUAUGGUGAGAGAGACGCGUGUGGUAGAAAAGAGAGUAUUUUGUUGAGUGGGUUCCUGCUCUCUCUCUCUCUCUCUCUCUCUCUCUCUCUCUAACGUUCGUAGUGGGUAGGUUGUUACAACCUUUUUAUUUUAUUUCUUAUUUUUUAUUUUUGAACCAAGAGAGAGAAUUUGAGGAGUACUUUUAGAAGAGGAAAAGUCCUCUUUUUUUCUUUCCCACAGAGUCAUGAUGAGAGCCGCCUUCCUAUUUUCUUCCUAGUGGAGAGAGAUCCCAUGUAGUAAAUGGUGUGGUUUUUUUGUCUUUUUCUAUUUUUUCCUUUUUUUUUAGAGAGUGAAUUGGUUGGAAAUGGUUUUGCAUCCUUAAGCCUUCACGUGACCAGCUGUCACACCUCCCUUCUCUUUUCGUUGGAUGCCCAGCUAGAGAGAGGGAUUCUAGAAGGAGAUUUUUAUAUGUUAUUUAAUAUUACUCUUUAUUUCUAUUUGAUGAUUGGAUAAUAGAAAAUGGGUAUUGAUUGCAAAUGAGGACCAUUGAUUAAUUUGAAUCAACCAUUCAGAUUAAAUCAAAAAAAAACAAACCAAUCAAAAUUGCAAAGUUAUCUUUUUUUAGAUGAUUUAAUUAAUUUAAAUGGGAUUAAAUCAAUCAAUUCAAAUAAAAAUUCACAACUUCCUAAAUAAACAUGAUAAAAUUAAAAUGAAGAUAUGGAAAUUCCCAUUUAUUUAAUUUGAAUAUUUUGGCGAAAGAAUAAAAUUAAAAUGACUAAAAAUGAAUAAAAGUCGGGCGAAAAUUUGCUCAAAAGAUUAAAUCGGAUGCACUAAAAUGAUCAGCACGAAAUAUACUUAUUGAAAAAAUACAACGUUUCUUUGAAUUUUGAAAUAAAUUUUCAACGGUUAAAAGGCCCAGACUGGUCAAAAUGCAACUAAAAAAGUCACUGAAAAAAAUACAACGAGCACACCAAAUUAAACUACGUGAACCAUAGAUUAAUAAUACCGACAUCUACAAUUUUAAUUUUGAAACUUUUUACCCGCUGAUUUUGCACGUAUUUGAGAAACGGAUUAACCAAUUUGUCUGUAUUUUCCAAGAAUUUAUUCCGACUGAUAUUUUAGGUAUUAUUCAUGAUGGAAUGCAUGUGAUGCUGUGUAUAUGAUGCAAAUUGAAAAUGAAAUCAGAUUUACGAAAACUUAAAAUGCCUGGACAAAAUAGGGGUAUGACAGGGUGCAGCUGGAAAUUAGCCACGUUCACUCGUUGGUUGACAAUAGUUAAUCUGUCGGUUUAUGCAUUGGCACCUCCGUAGUCUCCCAACUGUCUUUCUGCUGGCGAUGGAACAUCAACCAUAGUUUCGAUCUCUCUAUCGGAACCUGAAUCUGAGUUGUAAUGGAUGGAAAGUUGUUCUUCGUCUUAUUCCAAUCUGGCUAAUCGAGCUUGUCUGAGUCUUGCUCGCAAGGUUCUCUCGAUUUCUGCGUCAAAAGGAAAAUCAACUGAGGCCUUACCUCGCAUACAAAUAUCAGACACAGAUUAGUUGAUAUAAUAGAAAUAAAAUAUUCAAAAUACGGAAAAUAAAUUUUAGUUGCAGAGCAACAAAAUUUCAAUUGAGAUAAUUUUAAACUUAUAUUUGGCAAUUCCUGGCAACGGCACCAAAAACUUGAUCAGAAAAAUAGCAAGUGUACUAUUUUGGCCGAUGUAGUAAUAAGAGGGAUGUUUCCCAAAGAUCGAUAUCGAGUAUUGCGAGCAAUAUAAGAGUAAACAGUCACUCAAUUGAACAAAAGUGAGAGUUUGGGUUUGGUACAAUUUACUGUAAGGAAGAAUAAAACAAAUAAAUAUUUUCACAAAUUAAUAUGAUAUGCCAAGGAAGGUGUAUAAACAUCUCCUAUAAUGACCCUUGAGUGUAUAUCUCCUUAAUACUGAACAUUAUUUCAAUUACCGGAUCUUAAGAUUAUUUACCCCUAAGACCUCGGAGGGAAACCUUUGGUAUUCAAUCUAACCUCUAAGUCCUAAGGUGAUUAUGGUGAAACCAAGCAUUUUAAUUUAACAAGAAUAAUCCGGUAACCAUAGGGUAUCCCUAGUCCUAGGUGAUAUCUACUAUGGUUUCACUAUAUGAAAACCUUAACCAUUGCAGUCCUGUUAAUCGUUAACCAUACAUCAAUCUUAACUUUUGCCAUAAAGAAAGCAUUACGCGAAUCAUAUAGUGAAAUUGAAAUCAAAUAACAUAUAUUAAGGAAAAUCUAACAUCAGAGUCAUUACAUGAUCAAUUCAGGGACACCCCCUGGCAUUGGGGGGUUUAGCCUAUCAUAUUAUUCAAAUCAGAUACAAUAUAAAAUUGAGAAAUUACAAAAAGUUUAGAAUUACGUUGAUCUUCAAUCGCGUCCGCUCUUGAAGGAUCUUCGUUCUUAUUCGCUUUCCACUCCUUCAAUCUUGAUUGUCUCCAAUUUUCUAUCGUGUAAAAAGACCCUUUCUCCAUAUUCAAAUCUCCUGUAAAUAGUUCCUGAUGA
This 3144-nucleotide long non-coding RNA is filed under the name Lathyrus oleraceus (garden pea). Its description in RNAcentral is "Pisum sativum (pea) long non-coding RNA (PSAT_LNC031063)". The record is from RNAcentral. Lineage: Eukaryota; Viridiplantae; Streptophyta; Magnoliopsida; Fabales; Fabaceae.